Molecule: ribosomal RNA, 444 nt
Filed under: uncultured bacterium
Lineage: Bacteria
Description: partial 16S ribosomal RNA
Rfam family: Bacterial small subunit ribosomal RNA
Source: RNAcentral
CUACGGGCUGCAGCAGUGGGGAAUAUUGGGCAAUGGAGGAAACUCUGACCCAGCGACGCCGCGUGCGGGAUGAAGGCCUUCGGGUUGUAAACCGCUUUCAGCAGGGAAGAAGCGAAAGUGACGGUACCUGCAGAAGAAGCACCGGCUAACUAUGUGCCAGCAGCCGCGGUAAUACAUAGGGUGCAAGCGUUGUCCGGAAUUAUUGAGCGUAAAGAGCUCGUAGGUGGUUCGUCACGUCGGAUGUGAAACUCUGGGGCUUAACCCCAGACCUGCAUUCGAUACGGGCGAGCUUGAGUAUGGUAGGGGAGUCUGGAAUUCCUGGUGUAGCGGUGGAAUGCGCAGAUAUCAGGAGGAACACCAAUGGCGAAGGCAGGACUCUGGGCCAUUACUGACACUGAGGAGCGAAAGCGUGGGGAGCGAACAGGAUUAGAUACCCUUGUAGUC